GAUGAACGCUAGCUACAGGCUUAACACAUGCAAGUCGCAGGGUAACGUGAGGGAAGCUUGCUUCCCUUGACGACGACUGGCGCACGGGUGAGUAACGCGUAUCCAACCUUCCCAUGACCACGGGAUAACCCGUUGAAAGACGGACUAAUACCGUAUGACGUCGUUUGCUGACAUCAAAUAACGAUUAAAGGUUUAGCGGUGAUGGAUGGGGAUGCGUCUGAUUAGCUUGUUGGCGGGGUAACGGCCCACCAAGGCGACGAUCAGUAGGGGUUCUGAGAGGAAGGUCCCCCACAUUGGAACUGAGACACGGUCCAAACUCCUACGGGAGGCAG
RNAcentral lists this ribosomal RNA (332 nucleotides) under uncultured Bacteroidota bacterium. RNAcentral describes it as "bacterial SSU rRNA". It matches the Rfam family "Bacterial small subunit ribosomal RNA", at positions 28 to 351 of the family's 1533-position model. Lineage: Bacteria; Pseudomonadati; Bacteroidota. The record is from RNAcentral.